Non-coding RNA from Danionella cerebrum, 76 nucleotides. The record is from the annotation of a GenBank genome assembly. NCBI's taxonomy places the organism in Eukaryota, Metazoa, Chordata, Actinopteri, Cypriniformes, Danionidae.
GCAGUUGUGGCCUAGUGGAUAUGGUGAUUGACUUGUGGUCUGAAGGGUGCUGGUUUGAUCCCCAGCCCCAACUUCC